RNAcentral lists this long non-coding RNA (231 nucleotides) under Erythranthe guttata (spotted monkey flower). RNAcentral's name for it is "long non-coding RNA (EGUT_LNC003850)". Lineage: Eukaryota; Viridiplantae; Streptophyta; Magnoliopsida; Lamiales; Phrymaceae. The record is from RNAcentral.
AGAAGAGUGAUGACCGCUUCACCAGGGAUUUUCUGGGGCUCGCUGGAGGAUGUGGCGGCGGCGGAGGGAGUGCCGGCGGCGGUGUGGAGUUUGGUGUUCCGUACGGUGGCGAUGAUUCUGGGAUGCUGAAGUAUGAAGGGUUUGGAUAUGGUGAAAGUUGCUCCGAUGAUUGGGGCAAUUGCUGUAGAACCGCACACCAUUACAGAGACUGUUAAUUAAUUUAGACUUGCU